CUUGGUCAUUUAGAGGAAGUAAAAGCCGUAACAAGGUCUCCGUAGGUGAACCUGCGGAGGGAUCAUUACACAAAUAUGAAGGCGGGCUGGAACCUCUCGGGGUUACAGCCUUGCUGAAUUAUUCACCCUUGUCUUUUGCGUACUUCUUGUUUCCUUGGUGGGUUCGCCCACCACUAGGACAAACAUAAACCUUUUGUAAUUGCAAUCAGCGUCAGUAACAAAUUAAUAAUUACAACUUUCAACAACGGAUCUCUUGGUUCUGGCAUCGAUGAAGAACGCAGCGAAAUGCGAUAAGUAGUGUGAAUUGCAGAAUUCAGUGAAUCAUCGAAUCUUUGAACGCACAUUGCGCCCUUUGGUAUUCCAAAGGGCAUGCCUGUUCGAGCGUCAUUUGUACCCUCAAGCUUUGCUUGGUGUUGGGCGUCUUGUCUCUAGCUUUGCUGGAGACUCGCCUUAAAGUAAUUGGCAGCCGGCCUACUGGUUUCGGAGCGCAGCACAAGUCGCACUCUCUAUCAGCAAAGGUCUAGCAUCCAUUAAGCCUUUUUUUCAACUUUUGACCUCGGAUCAGGUAGGGAUACCCGCUGAACUUAAGCAUAUCAAUAAGCGGAGGAAAAGAAACCAACAGGGAUUGCCCUAGUAACGGCGAGUGAAGCGGCAACAGCUCAAAUUUGAAAUCUGGCUCUUUUAGAGUCCGAGUUGUAAUUUGCAGAGGGCGCUUUGGCUUUGGCAGCGG
Molecule: ribosomal RNA, 730 nt
Filed under: uncultured Alternaria
Lineage: Eukaryota; Fungi; Ascomycota; Dothideomycetes; Pleosporales; Pleosporaceae
Description: eukaryotic LSU rRNA
Rfam family: 5.8S ribosomal RNA (bases 234-387)
Source: RNAcentral